AGAAUCUAUUGCUGCUUGGCUUUCUGAGCUUCUGGCAGGAAGUUUCACCCUUAUCUCAGAUCAAGAGAAAGCUGCCAGUCAGAUCACCUCUCCAGUCUUUUAAAGCCUGAGCUUCUGCCUGAGCCCACUCACCACUUCAGGGAUCUGCCAACUCAUGUGGCCCUACACCCAGGUCUCUUUGCGCAAAGGGCAGGAUUUCAACUCCUCUAUCUUCUUCAUCACCCAAAGGGAUUGUGGAGUGCAGAUUUGUGGGUCCACAAUAGCAGGGGAGUGGAAUCUGACCAUUUCUCAAGCCCUGGAAGCCCAUCUUCUAAGAAGGAGGCUGCUCAGGGUUUUCUAGGGAGGGUGAGGGAUGCAACUGCAUUCCUGCCUCUUACCAGAUGUGUGACUCUGGAAAAUCGAUUUAUACUCUGUGAGCCUGAACUUCUCCACUGCAAAAUGGGAAACAAUUGAUACUGUCCCCACAGAAUUGUGUAGGGAAAAUGAGGGAACUUAAGGAAAUGUUUGGUGCAUAAUAUAACUUCAGCAAAUGUUUGUUCUGCUCACCAUGACUCCUCACCACGAUAAAAGAGACUUCGACAUAAAAGAAAGAGCAGAACUGUCAGAGCAUUUGGAAAUGUAGCAACAAGAAAGGAAAUGUAUAGGCAUUUACAUAAUGUAUGAAUUUGGGUGCCAUCUCAGUUGUAGAAUGUUAUCAGAAGAAUUUGGAGAAAGGGAAGACAAUAUUGUACUAUUUCCUUGUAUUCUAUUGAAUUUCUGUCCCUGUUACUUCACUUUCUACUUGAACAUCUGAAGAAAUAGUUUUCCAGUAAGUUCUGGAAAAAGGAGACAGUACAGGGGAACCAAAUAUAAUAAGGACCAUUGGAUCUUAGAUGAGUCACUUCCUCUGUGCUGGCCUCAUCUCUAACACCAAGUCACAUGCAAUAUAACUGGUUAGGGGGUUUGGGCUUUGGGUGCUAUUGUUUUCUGGUUGCAUGACCUUUAGCAAAUUUUUUAACCUCUCUGAGACCCAUUUAAAAAUAUUUCAAAUGGCUGUUAUAAUGGCAACAACAUCAUUAGGCUGUACUGAAAAUUAAGUGAGAACAUGCAUGUACAGCAUUUAGUAAAGUGUCUGGCACUAAGUAAUCAAUAAAUGUUAUCAUCAUGUUC
Molecule: long non-coding RNA, 1149 nt
Filed under: Homo sapiens (human)
Lineage: Eukaryota; Metazoa; Chordata; Mammalia; Primates; Hominidae
Description: HSALNT0408272
Source: RNAcentral